UAGGGAAUCUUCGGCAAUGGGGGGAACCCUGACCGAGCAACGCCGCGUGAGUGAAGAAGGUUUUCGGAUCGUAAAGCUCUUUUGUUAAGGAAGAACGAGUGUGAGAAUGGAAAGUUCAUGCUGUGACGGUACUUAACCAGAAAGGGACGGCUAACUACGUGCCAGCAGCCGCGGUAAUACGUAGGUCCCGAGCGUUGUCCGGAUUUAUUGGGCGUAAAGCGAGCGCAGGCGGUUAGAAAAGUCUGAAGUGAAAGGCAGUGGCUCAACCAUUGUAGGCUUUGGAAACUGUUUAACUUGAGUGCAGAAGGGGAGAGUGGAAUUCCAUGUGUGGCGGUGAAAUGCGUAGAUAUAUGGAGGAACACCGGUGGCGAAAGCGGCUCUCUGGUCUGUAACUGACGCUGAGGCUCGAAAGCGUGGGGAGCGAACAGG
This 429-nucleotide ribosomal RNA is filed under the name Verrucomicrobiota bacterium. Its description in RNAcentral is "Verrucomicrobia bacterium partial 16S ribosomal RNA". It matches the Rfam family "Bacterial small subunit ribosomal RNA", at positions 355 to 776 of the family's 1533-position model. The record is from RNAcentral. Lineage: Bacteria; Pseudomonadati; Verrucomicrobiota.